CUUGUGCAAAUGAUGCUAAUAUGAAUGAAUGAGAUGCACCCGUAUCAAAUAUGGCUCUAGCCCUAGUGCCUCUGAUUAAGAUAAUACCGGCCACGACGUCAUCAGGAACGAUGAUUGGCGGCUCCUCCACCUGAGUGGCAAAACCCGCCCACUAGGUGCUCGAGAAACCUCCGGCUGACGUGACACCGACGAUCGUCCAGCAGAUGUUGCGGGUGGCAGUCCCGCCAGCUGUCACUGUGUAUACUGUACUGAAGCUGAUGACGGGGCUGGGGACGCGCCGCCCGAGCACUCUUAACUCAAGUGCCCCGGUUGGCCACAUCGGUAACACCGCCCCUCCCGCUGUGGGCAACUGGUGGCUCUAUGCUCUCCGCCGCAUAUCACGCACGGGUAGGUAGUCUGGCCCUGUGUCUGACUCCUACCUCCUCGCCACUGCGAUCGCUGAGGUCGCGGGGGUCGCUUAGAACUCGACUGACCCGCCGAUCCUCCAGCAGGUCGCUUCUUAGUCUUCUCCCUUUCCUUAUCCUU
This 525-nucleotide long non-coding RNA is filed under the name Ananas comosus (pineapple). RNAcentral's name for it is "long non-coding RNA (ACOM_LNC038413)". The record is from RNAcentral. Lineage: Eukaryota; Viridiplantae; Streptophyta; Magnoliopsida; Poales; Bromeliaceae.